RNAcentral lists this ribosomal RNA (131 nucleotides) under uncultured Acidobacteriota bacterium. RNAcentral's name for it is "uncultured Acidobacteria bacterium partial 16S ribosomal RNA". It matches the Rfam family "Bacterial small subunit ribosomal RNA", at positions 401 to 525 of the family's 1533-position model. The record is from RNAcentral. Lineage: Bacteria; Pseudomonadati; Acidobacteriota.
GUGGAGGACGAAGGUCUUCGGAUCGUAAACUCCUGUCAGACGGGACGAACGGACGUCGGUAAAUAAUCGACGUCUUUGACGGUACCGUCAGAGGAAGCCCCGGCUAACUCCGUGCCAGCACCGCGGUAAUA